AUGCCUGACAAAUACCAGGGUGGUUUUGAGAAUCAGGACUUCGAUGAAGGUUUGGAUCAGAUCCUUGAAGAGUUAUUUGAUGAGAACGUGUUGUUUGUCUGUGAUGAACCCGGUGCUGUUAAUAACGACGAACAAGCUGUUGUCAACAAUCAGGAGCUGAUAACCCCGCCAGAAAUCGUAGCACAAGAGGUUGAGAUUAGCGCCGAAUCACAACACGCCCUAGGACACGUCACAAAUCCUGCCUCCGCAGACGCACCGGCUCCCGAGGGAGCUUCUCACAAACUCCCAGAUAUCUCAAGCGUUCGCACCGAAGAUAGCGUUACGUGUAGGCCGCGACACUCGGAGGGUCAGGGGGUGAAACGUUUGAGGUUACCGGAGGGGGGAACGGACGAUAUACCAACCACCAGUCGUUUAAGGACUUCGGAGAAUAACGAGCAAGGAUAUGACGAAGGAGGGCUAACAGCCUGGAGCGAUUCUAUGGUGAGCGCCUGGGAUCGUGCGUCUUUUAACGAUUCGGCAAGCGAGGAGGAGACGGAAGAGCUACCUAACGAGGACCCUCAAGAGCUGUUCCGUGAACGUGAUUUAAAUAGAAGGCUUGAUUAUGAUAUGCUUCGCCGUGUUAAUCGACGGUUUGACACACUUUUCGAUUUGAGCGGUCAAGCAUUGUCCUAUCGGGGUGCAGAAGAGAUCGUCGGUAAUGCACAAAGUGAUGUGGUGGCGAUUUUGAGGAACAUCAUUGAGUGUCAACAACAGCUCAACGAAUCCUUGCGUCACGCGGCUGAAUUUUGGAGAAGUUGCCACGAACAGCUAUAUGGUGAAUUUCGACAGUUUCAACAGCGCAUGAGCGGGGUACCGGGAGAAAUCCACCAGGUACAAGUUGAACAAAAUUUAUCUGUUAAUGCUCUUACUCUGAUCACGGAACGUUUAAAUCUAAUGCAAAGAAUGUUAUCAGAUUUGUACCGGCGUGAUCACCCUUGAUAUGUAUUGUAUUGUAUUGUUGUUUUUUAUCGUUAUUUAUUUUUUUUUUUUUUUUUUUUUUGCUUCGAUUCGCUAUUACCACCAAAUAUUUCUUACAUUAUUGUUUGUUAUUUCUUACAUGUAUUAUUGUUUUGUUCUUGGUACUGAAUUAUCAUUAGUUUCUUUCAUUUAUUAAUAUCGUCUGUUGUCAUUGAUUUAUACCGUAUUGCAUGUUAUUGUUUCCCACAUUAGGCGUUGUUUUACUUGUGGAGAAAAUGGGGUUUUGAAUUUAUACCUGCUGUAUGUUUCUGUUUUUUGUCAUCUAUAUCGCAUUGUGAAUCGUUGUUGGUGUUUUCAGGAGUAUGCACGCUUGUCUUUAAAAUUUAAAAAAGGUGUGUUUUCGAUUUAAAAUAAAUAAAAAUAAUAAUUCA
Molecule: long non-coding RNA, 1388 nt
Organism: Cyprinus carpio (common carp)
Lineage: Eukaryota; Metazoa; Chordata; Actinopteri; Cypriniformes; Cyprinidae
Source: Ensembl